GAUGAACGCUGGCGGCGUGCCUAAUACAUGCAAGUCGAGCGAACGGACGAGAAGCUUGCUUCUCUGAUGUUAGCGGCGGACGGGUGAGUAACACGUGGAUAACCUACCUAUAAGACUGGGAUAACUUCGUGAAACCGGUGCUAAUACCGGAUGAUAUUUUGAACCGCAUGGUUCAAAAGUGAAAGACGGUCUUGCUGUCACUUAUAGAUGGAUCCGCGCUGCAUUAGCUAGUUGGUAAGGUAACGGCUUACCAAGGCAACGAUGCAUAGCCGACCUGAGAGGGUGAUCGGCCACACUGGAACUGAGACACGGUCCAGACUCCUACGGGAGGCAGCAGUAGGGAAUCUUCCGCAAUGGGCGAAAGCCUGACGGAGCAACGCCGCGUGAGUGAUGAAGGUCUUCGGAUCGUAAAACUCUGUUAUUAGGGAAGAACAUAUGUGUAAGUAACUGUGCACAUCUUGACGGUACCUAAUCAGAAAGCCACGGCUAACUACGUG
This 497-nucleotide ribosomal RNA is filed under the name uncultured bacterium. Its description in RNAcentral is "partial 16S ribosomal RNA". It matches the Rfam family "Bacterial small subunit ribosomal RNA", at positions 28 to 507 of the family's 1533-position model. The record is from RNAcentral.